AUGGCUGUCCCAGGUUGCAACAAAGACAGUGUCAGAAAAGACUGUAAAAAAUGUGGCUACCCUUGUCACCUUACUUUUGAAUGCCGCAAUUUUCUCUGAGUAGACCCUAAAAGGGACAUAGUUUUGGAUGUCAGCAGUACAAGUAGUGAAGAUAGAGAUGAAGAGAAUGAAGAACUGAAUAAAUUGCAGGCAUUACAGGAAAAAAGAAUAAAUGAAGAAGAGGAAAAGAAAAAAGAAAAAAUCAAAUUGAAAAAAAAGAAAAAGGUCUUAUCCAGUUCCACUGAAGAGGACACUUCAAAACAAAAGAAACGAAGAUAUCAGAAGAAAGAAAAGAAAAAAAGAGUAAAUCAAUAAAGGGAAACAUCACAAAAAGGAAAGAACAAGGAGAGAAAAAAAAAAGCAUUCUUCUACCCCUAAAAGUUCUGAAUUCUCCAGAAAGUAA
This 442-nucleotide long non-coding RNA is filed under the name Homo sapiens (human). Its description in RNAcentral is "non-protein coding lnc-NCAM2-16:1". The record is from RNAcentral. Lineage: Eukaryota; Metazoa; Chordata; Mammalia; Primates; Hominidae.